CAACUUUCAUAACACUAUGCUUAAGGAAACCCUUAAAAUCAUUCUAUUCUCAUGAUAACAAAACAAGUUUCCUUUAAUUAUAAAUCUAAUUAGCUAGUCUGUGGAACCUUAAGGCGACUAUAUAUUCAUCCAAUGUUGCAGAUCCAACUAAAAAUAUGAACUGAGUAGAAAGUAAAUACAAAUAGUAAUUCAUAGCAAAAGAUUAGAUUCAACUCAUUACCAAUGAAACAAGAUCAUUUACAUAAGCACAGAAAAAGAAGGGGAUUAAUAAAAAAUCCUAUUUUGUACAAACUCAAAGUGAUCAAAAACAAAAAUCUUGGCCUCUAUCUAGUUCUACUACGAGUGAAGAUUGAAGCGACAGAGUUAGCCAGACCCAGCACUAUUCCAACCUUGACUUGUCCCCUCUUUGGAAUUGGACGCCCUAAACACCUCCUUCCCAAGCUUCUUCUUCCACCAUUCAUCAUACCACUACUUCUUCCACCUCCCAUCUCUUUCUUUCUAUAUAUCUAUUCACUCAAGAGAUUGAACAAGUGAUUAUAUCCUAUGUAUGUUGUGUUGCUUUGGUGAGUGUGGUUCAGCUUUGAUCUUUGUUUAUAUAGG
RNAcentral lists this long non-coding RNA (600 nucleotides) under Lupinus angustifolius (narrow-leaved blue lupine). RNAcentral describes it as "long non-coding RNA (LANG_LNC000967)". Lineage: Eukaryota; Viridiplantae; Streptophyta; Magnoliopsida; Fabales; Fabaceae. The record is from RNAcentral.